Non-coding RNA from Cricetulus griseus (Chinese hamster), 5923 nucleotides. Lineage: Eukaryota; Metazoa; Chordata; Mammalia; Rodentia; Cricetidae. The record is from RefSeq and is a predicted model, not a curated record.
GUCCCUUUGUGUUACAUAAAUAUUUAAUGUACUGUGUCAAUUUUCUUGUCCUUUCUAGGUUAUAUUCUUUCUUGAAUAAGAUUCUUAAUAGUCUCUCUUGGUUUUAAAGUUAUCCAAUUAGUUUAUAACAAUCUCUAUGAAAUUAAUUCCAGCUCCACCUAAAUAUGAGAGUAAAACUUUUCUGUAGACAGCUCUACCUUCUUUCUCCCAUUUGUGUUAUUGCCAUACAUUUCACAUCUUAAUAAGUACUCACAAACCUAAUGAAGUGAGGAUUGUUUUGCAUAGAUCUGCUUUUAAAUCAGAGAAUACAAAUACGUUAGAACAGAAACCAUAUUUAUACUUUGCUUUACUCUUAUAUAGUUAACUAUUCCGGAGGGUUAUUUCACCUUUAAUCACUUCUGAUGGUACACACUCACUGUAGAGAUGAGGGGGCUGUGAUUCUCUCCAUGUAGUUCCUUAGUCUUUCUCAGAGAAUGGCAUCUAUGUCUGGCUAAGAACUGUUUUUUAGAUAUUAGACAUGGAAACAACUGCGCCUGGAGUCUCCUUCUCUCAUCCGUUAUUAACUAGACACUCACUGUAUGUUCAUUGGAAAGGUACAUAGUUGGUAGAGUUGUUAUUUGAAAACUUAUCGGGUCUGGUUCCACGAAUCCACCUGCAUGGUGUUUGCAUUCUUUGACAGGCUUCUAAAUGUCUGCACAAACUCCAUGUUUUCACAGAAGCUGGUACAACCAUACUGGAACAGUCAGCAUGUGAACUUCCAGUGUGUGCUAUCCUUGACAUGUAGAAUCAGAUCAUAUCUACAGUAUUCAUGUUCUGAUUCAUUGGCAACUAACUGUGAGGUGUUAAUGUCCAUGGCCAUGUUUAUGGCUAAUCCAUUUGCAAUUUGUUUUUAGAGGCAACACUGUUUUAUAUAAAUGUUAAUAAUUAGAAAUGGGGCUUGUAAACAGGGCAUGUGGGAGAGGUAGAUUUUAUUCCACGUCAUCAUGUUUCAAGAAUGCAAUGGCAGAAUUAAAAUAGUUUUAAAAAUUACAUUUUUUGGUGUGUGUAUCAUGCGCAUAUGUGCACACACUUGCUUGUAUGCACCUUCUAUGUGUGUAGAGGUCAGAAGACAGCUUUCAGGAGUUGGUUCUCUCCUUGUACCUUGUAAGUCUCAGGAAUCAAACUUAGAUGAUUAGGUGUGGGAAAUGCUGUCACAACUUGCCAGUCUCAGUUAGAGAAUUCUAUCUGCCUAGAAAAAUAUGUUUUGCAGCAAUUAAAAAGUUUUAAAGUUAGUUUAUUGUGUUUGCCUAUAUGUAUGUCUGGUAUGUCUGUACAUUAUAUGCAUGCCUGGUGUUCACAAAGGCCAGAAGAGGGUGUCAGGUCCCCUGGGACAUAAGAUUCAAAUGGUUGUGAGAUAAAAUAUGGAUACUAGGAAUCCAAGCAGGUCCUCUGGAAGAGCCCAAAUUCUCUCAACCACUGAGCAAUCUCUCGGGCCCUACCAAUUCUCUUAAAAUUUAGAAACGUGCAUUUUUCUUCAUUUCUGAAGGUUAAUUUCACUAGGAAUAGAAUUCUUGGUAACCAGUCUUUUUGUUCUCCAGUACCAGAAUAUGUCCUAACACCACCUUCUGAUAAGAAAGGGCUGUUGAUCCUUCCAGGAUCUCUUGUGAACAGUGAGUCCUCCCCAAUAUCUUUCCCAAAGUCUUCUUUGUCUUUGUUUUUCAAUAGUUCACUUUUGACAUAUUUGGGUAUAGAUCUCUCCAAUAUUUGGAUGUAUAGAUUAAUAUUUUUGUAUAAGGUUUGUAGGCAUCAAGGUAGUAUUUGGUGAAACAAUUAUUUUUUCCCUUCACAUCUUGUGUUUCUCUGGAGAUGCAGUCAAGAAUUUAUUGGUAUGCCUGGCAGUGCCUAUACCUCAGUUCUAGGAGACUUUAUUCACUUUUGCCUUGUGUUGUUUGGUUCUGGUCCAAAGACUGGCCAAUCUCAGUUAUCUCCACAUUCCUUGAUUCUUCUCCCGGCCCAAACCUGACUUUGAGUGCUCUGAAGAAUUUUUCAUUCUGGUUAUUGUGAUUUUUCUUAUCUCUUGAUUUCUUUUUCAGAACACUCCCAACAGCAGGUCUUGGGCCACUAACAGUUCAGGUAACACUGUGCGGUGCAGUCAUCCAUGAAUGUUUUACCUCCAAGAACACUUACUUGUCAGAGUUUCCAAGAAGGGUCUGGAUUCAGGAGUCUGUGUCAGGAGUUUCCUGGGAGAGUUUGCCAGAGCUUCAGCAGAGCAUUGGGUUGGCCCCCAAGAGGAAGGGCUAUGUGAGCACUUAAAUGAUGAAUACCAUACAGGAUGUUUCACUGUCUGCAAGCCCCUGUGUUCUUCCUGCUCAUCCCAUCUCACCCAGAGUUGUGGAAGGACACUGAUCGUCAGCUCAGUCUGUGAUCGCCGCAUGUUUCAAGGUCCAUUGGACACCUACUCACCCUGCAUCCACCUGUGAGGCCGAAUGCAUUGGGUACUUGUGGCCAUGUCUACAAGUUGAAGUUGAUUUGGGAGACACGGUGAAUGUGGGAAGGACAGAUUUCCAUCCAGAAAAGUGAAUCAGUCACAUGAACAGUUAUGAGACUCCGUCGUGGGAGGACCCAUCAGAGUGUGAUCUGGACUGAAUGUGAAGAGGAGGGAAAGGAACUGCCAUGCUGUUGGGGAGUCUGGGCAGGCAGGUGGCUUCCCAGCAGCACUCCAGAAGCAGUGAGGCUGAUCAGAAGUGGCAGCUGGGAGAAGACUGUUAGGUUAGAGCUCUUAAAACUUGGGUUCUCACCUUCAUGGAUACAGGCACAGAAGUGGAGGCUGUGGAGCAAUUUGGAAGAAUGGACAUUGGCCAAGACCUUACCUCUGUUACCAAGAUCUCACUCUCUAUGGCUGCCAAUUCUUCAGCCAAAAAGCAAUUAUUGAAGAGAAGAAGAAUCACGGUUUUCUUCUGUGUGCCACAGUAGAAACCACACACCACCUGCACGUGGGAGGAAGAGAAUCAUCGCAGUUGGUACAGAGGCAGCCCCGUGGAGAACAGAAGAUCCUUCACAUGCAAUCAAGACAGAAAGGAGCCACACAUGCAGAUGCCUUUGCUGACACCCCUUUUGCCUUCCUAGGGAACCUGUCUUCAACAUGACUUCAGGGGAGCUGAGUGUCAGCUAAUUGCAUCUGUAGACAGAGGCAGAAGAUGCUUUUUGGCUUGGGUUCAUCUGAUUUGCAUACUCCAGGUGUCCCUGUCAUAGGUAUGCUGUUUAUAACACUGCCUUCUUGAAUUUUCUGGAGUUGAGAACAACAUGGGGUAGAGAAUAUGCACCUUCCCAGGGCUGCAUCUGAGACAUAGUGACAUAAAGUCUCUAGGGACAGAGCAAGCGGGUUGGGUCUGCUCAUUUCACAAGCUUCCUGGUUCCUGGACUUUGGCAGAGGUGAGAAACAAAGAUUUCACUAGACUCCUGCAGAUUGGUAUCAGCAAUCACAUAUUGAAAGAAAGUCCAUUUGUUUCUAAAAGUGACAGGUAAAAUUCUUUGACUCUCUGACUUGAAAGCCCCUAAUCUACUCACACUUUUAUACAACCCUCUACAAUAUAUCUUCAUGACUUUUCUUUUUCAUCAAUAUGGCAAGAAGGUUAUAGAUGUCAACCAAGAAACAGCUCUUACCUCAAAUGUGAUUUAUUCUGGAACAAAAUAUGAGUGAGCAUAGCCCACAUGUUCAGGCUAUCCCAAGCACCAUGUUCUGAUGAGGUAGCAAUUUCAUGAAGUUAUUAUAGGAACAGAACAAAGCAGGUCAUAAGUCAAUGUGCUUUACAAAUCCAUGUCCAGGGGGAAAGCCAGGCAGGCUUCAGUGUAUCAGGGAAAUCUCAGAUACUAAUGAUCUCAGCCUUUGGUUAGUGGGAACUACAGGUCUGAUUGAACAUUCCAAAGGAUUUAUAUAAUUUUCAAGAUGUUAGGUCACAUAGAAAGGAGGGUAAUAAAUGGUUAUUAAGAGCCAAAACAUGGCCCAAGAUAAUGUGAAUUUGGGCUGAAGACAUUCCAAUAUCUGCAUCAUUGAGGUCCUAAUCUAUCAAUGAGCCUUUCUAGUCAAAGCUUCUGUUGGUCUUAUGGAUAUCUGAAAUCCAGAGAGGGAAAAAAACACUUCUUUAAGCCAAUGUCCCCAGGGCAUCAGAAUACCUAUAAGCAACUGGCCUCCUGCAGCCUGAUUUCUUCUGUUUCUUCACUAACUUGCAAGCCCUUCUCUCAGUUGGAGCAUUGUAGACACAAAGAUGAUGUGUUUUGGACAAAGAAGGGGGUAUGGACUCUACCUGGGCUGGGUGCUCAAUGACUGUGACUGCCAUGUAUAGUUGGAAGGGUUUCAGUAAAAGUGGAGACAGAUGAAUAGUGUGACUAUAUUGAAACUGUAAGGGCGAGACAUGAUGUCUUCAACUGACAGCUUUUCCAGUUGAAAGGGUUAGUGAAAGCCCACUGGUACACACAGGCUCUGAUUAGCGUGCUGUGGAGGGUCUCUGCAGUCAAGCAUUGGGUCAACUUUUGUUUUCCACUGAAGGAUGAUGGACAGCAAAACAAUGAGAACAUGCGGUGGGGAGUCCAGUGAGAUGCUUUGUGGCUUCAGGUAAAAAAGAAUCUGUGUACCACACAGAGGAGUUAAGAGAGGUUGAGCCCUUGCAUGGUUCAGUUUUCCUCAGAGGAAACAAAACAAAAUGAGGCAAAAGAUAUAUUUGUUUUCUACUAAGUACUUUUCCGAAUUGGGUAACCAACUCUCUCCAAAUUCACCAGCACUUGGAGACCACCAGGCACACAUCCUUCCUGAUGUCUCUACAUAGAGCAACGGGCUGUUCUUCCAUUAGUCCCACUGUCUGCCAUGAGUCACACAUGUGAACAGUCAGUCCAACUUAAUAAGUGUACUCACUCAGAAAACAACUUCAGCUGCUAUCCUGUCAGUUUCUGGUGGAAAGGUGUGGAGAGGGAAUGAAAGGUGACAGCUAUGUAAAGGUUGAGAGUGGGAAAUAAGAAAAAUGAGUAAAGCACAAACAAGAUCUGCUUAUUGAACAGGGACUGUCUUGAAGGAGAGAUUUGGGGCUGGUUGGGGUGGGGAAGACAGAGGAAGGAGAGCAGUUUUGAGCUCCUGCAAGAUGAGCUACCACCUUCUACCAUCCUUGUAAAAGACUUAUUUUCUUGUGGCAGAAGGACUUCUCACUUAAGCUUCCCACCCACCUUCAGAGAGACAGUGGAAAGUGGUUUGCUCUGUGAAGGCUCUGCAUCUGCCACAGUGCUGCGGUGUGGAGUUGGUUUCAGACAUUCAGGUGACUGUGAAUGUCCACUUCUAUGUAGCUGUUUACUUUGUUACAAUGGAGUCUAUUUGCCUUAAACAAUGGAUCCUUCUUGCUUUCCUAUAGCCGCUUCCAUUACUCUGAAUUAGUUUCUUAUUGUUUAUAAUGUCUCCCUGUCUUUGCCACUGUUCUGUUCCCGUGAAGAGAUACCAUGACCACAACAACUCUUAUAAAAGAAAGCAUUUAAGUAGGACUUAUUUACAGUUUCAGAGGUUUAGUCCAUUAUCAUGGCAGAGAGCACAGCAACACACAGGCGACAUACAUGUGUUUGAAAAGUAGCUGACAGUUCUACACCUGGGUUCACUGGCUGCAGUAAGAGAGAGACUCUGGGCUUGAAAUGUGCUUUUUAAACAUCAAAGACUAUCCCCGUCCCAUGACAUACUUCUUCCAACAAGGCCAUACCUCCUAAUCCUUUCAAAUAGUGCCACUCUCUAAGAAUUCAAAUCUAAGAAAGAGCCUACAGGGUCAUUCUGAUUCAAACCACCACACUAAUACAAGGUAAAUGCCGUCCAAAUUGAGUAUCAGGUGAAAUGAUGGCAAGAAAAGAAUCUUUGUGUUCAGUUCAGGUGUAAAAAGAGAAUCAAUGAAUCAAUGAAGAAUUCUGUUACUGAAAA